CGGCAGACGGGAAGAGGAGUGUUUAUUCACAAGAUGCCAGCAGUGUCGUGUAGCCUAAGGAUACACUGCAGGAGUGAGUGGAGCCACCCCUUGUUUAACCAGCAUAUUAGAGAUAAGGUCGUUGCCAAAGCUGGAUCUGAUGAGUGGUGAAAAAGUUCAAGAAGGGAAUAUAGUUGAGUUAUCGGCUAUUACUUCAGUGCGGCAUUGGAGAAAACGCACAAAACAAACCUGAGGCCCCACACUGUUGUUUACUCAGCUUGGAACAUCCGCGGCGGCAUAUUUUACAAUAAUGGAGCCUUCAGAAUGCAUUAGCUUUACACGUUAGUUCUCAAAAUAUGCCAGUCAAAUAAGAAUAAGACAAGUUAUGGGACCAAGACACCAUGAGAAGCGCCCACUGCCUAAAUAUGAAUAAUUCCAAGAGAUUCAGAUUUGCAAUAUAGAAGAUAGAGCAAUAAUAAUAAUAAUAAUAGUAAUAAUAAUAAUAAUAAUAAUAAUAAUAAUAAUAAUAAUAUAAACGAUACAAAAGAUUAAGUAAAACGAAGUAGGAAAGUAACGCCACAAGAGAACACAAAGAAGAACGAUAACCAGCACCAUUUUAUGUAAUGACUUGCUACCUUACUGUGAGAGGAGCAAAUUAGCGAAGAUGAAAGUUCCUCCCCAUCAAAAGCUUUCUUUAGUGAGGACUGGCGGGGGAAAGAGAAAUAUCAAGCAGUGAGGAAGAUAAGUUACAGAAUAGUAGUGGUAGUGGUAGUAGUAGUAGUAG
Portunus trituberculatus (swimming crab) is the source of this 763-nucleotide long non-coding RNA. RefSeq lists it as uncharacterized. The record is from RefSeq and is a predicted model, not a curated record. NCBI's taxonomy places the organism in Eukaryota, Metazoa, Arthropoda, Malacostraca, Decapoda, Portunidae. The transcript is spliced from 4 exons.